CCUGGCUCACGAUGAACGCUAGCUACAGGCUUAACACAUGCAAGUCGAGGGGCAGCAUGGUCUUAGCUUGCUAAGGCCGAUGGCGACCGGCGCACGGGUGAGUAACACGUAUCCAACCUGCCGUCUACUCUUGGACAGCCUUCUGAAAGGAAGAUUAAUACGAGAUGGGAUCAUGAGUUCACAUGUUCACAUGAUUAAAGGUAUUCCGGUAGACGAUGGGGAUGCGUUCCAUUAGAUAGUAGGCGGGGUAACGGCCCACCUAGUCUUCGAUGGAUAGGGGUUCUGAGAGGAAGGUCCCCCACAUUGGAACUGAGACACGGUCCAAACUCCUACGGGAGGCAGCAGUGAGGAAUAUUGGUCAAUGGGCGAGAGCCUGAACCAGCCAAGUAGCGUGAAGGAUGACUGCCCUAUGGGUUGUAAACUUCUUUUAUAAAGGAAUAAAGUCGGGUAUGGAUACCCGUUUGCAUGUACUUUAUGAAUAAGGAUCGGCUAACUCCGUGCCAGCAGCCGCGGUAAUACGGAGGAUCCGAGCGUUAUCCGGAUUUAUUGGGUUUAAAGGGAGCGUAGAUGGAUGUUUAAGUCAGUUGUGAAAGUUUGCGGCUCAACCGUAAAAUUGCAGUUGAUACUGGAUAUCUUGAGUGCAGUUGAGGCAGGCGGAAUUCGUGGUGUAGCGGUGAAAUGCUUAGAUAUCACGAAGAACUCCGAUUGCGAAGGCAGCCUGCUAAGCUGCAACUGACAUUGAGGCUCGAAAGUGUGGGUAUCAAACAGGAUUAGAUACCCUGGUAGUCCACACGGUAAACGAUGAAUACUCGCUGUUUGCGAUAUACUGCAAGCGGCCAAGCGAAAGCGUUAAGUAUUCCACCUGGGGAGUACGCCGGCAACGGUGAAACUCAAAGGAAUUGACGGGGGCCCGCACAAGCGGAGGAACAUGUGGUUUAAUUCGAUGAUACGCGAGGAACCUUACCCGGGCUUAAAUUGCAGAUGAAUUACGGUGAAAGCCGUAAGCCGCAAGGCAUCUGUGAAGGUGCUGCAUGGUUGUCGUCAGCUCGUGCCGUGAGGUGUCGGCUUAAGUGCCAUAACGAGCGCAACCCUUGUUGUCAGUUACUAACAGGUUCCGCUGAGGACUCUGACAAGACUGCCAUCGUAAGAUGUGAGGAAGGUGGGGAUGACGUCAAAUCAGCACGGCCCUUACGUCCGGGGCUACACACGUGUUACAAUGGGGGGUACAGAGGGCCGCUACCACGCGAGUGGAUGCCAAUCCCCAAAACCUCUCUCAGUUCGGACUGGAGUCUGCAACCCGACUCCACGAAGCUGGAUUCGCUAGUAAUCGCGCAUCAGCCACGGCGCGGUGAAUACGUUCCCGGGCCUUGUACACACCGCCC
Molecule: ribosomal RNA, 1382 nt
Filed under: uncultured bacterium
Lineage: Bacteria
Description: bacterial SSU rRNA
Rfam family: Bacterial small subunit ribosomal RNA
Source: RNAcentral